UUGGGUUAAGUCCCGCAACGAGCGCAACCCUUGAUCUUAGUUGCCAUCAUUAAGUUGGGCACUCUAAGGUGACUGCCGGUGACAAACCGGAGGAAGGUGGGGAUGACGUCAAAUCAUCAUGCCCCUUAUGACCUGGGCUACACACGUGCUACAAUGGACGGUACAAAGAGCUGCAAGACCGCGAGGUGGAGCUAAUCUCAUAAAACCGUUCUCAGUUCGGAUUGUAGGCUGCAACUCGCCUACAUGAAGCUGGAAUCGCUAGUAAUCGCGGAUCAGCAUGCCGCGGUGAAUACGUUCCCGGGCCUUGUACACACCGCCCGUCACACCACGAGAGUUUGUAACACCCGAAGUCGGUGGGGUAACCUUUUUGGAGCCAGCCGCCUAAGGUGGGACA
This 394-nucleotide ribosomal RNA is filed under the name Bacillus sp. (in: firmicutes). RNAcentral's name for it is "bacterial SSU rRNA". It matches the Rfam family "Bacterial small subunit ribosomal RNA", at positions 1075 to 1469 of the family's 1533-position model. The record is from RNAcentral. Lineage: Bacteria; Bacillati; Bacillota; Bacilli; Caryophanales; Bacillaceae.